Mastomys coucha (southern multimammate mouse) is the source of this 2158-nucleotide RNA transcript. It is a transcript of the gene named polyadenylate-binding protein 4 pseudogene, with no coding region annotated. The record is from RefSeq and is a predicted model, not a curated record. Lineage: Eukaryota; Metazoa; Chordata; Mammalia; Rodentia; Muridae. The transcript has a single exon.
AUGAAUGGUCUUGUCCAUUGCCCCCUACCCCAUGGCCUCGUGGGCGAUCUGCACUCAGACGUCACCGAAAAGUUCAGCCCUGCAGGGCCUUGUGCUGCUCAUCCUGGUCUGCUGCAAUAUAAUCACCCGCUGCUCUCUGUGUUAUGCCUAGGUCAACUUCCAGCAGCCAGCUGAUGCUGAGAGAGCCUUGGACACCAUGAAAUUUGACGUGAUUAAGGGAAAGCCAAUCCGCAUCAUGUGGUCUCAGAGGGAUCCCUUUUUGAGAAAGACUGGGUGUGGGAAAUUGUCUUCAUCAAGAACCUGGACAAAUCUAUAGACAAGGCACUGUAUGACACUUUCUCUGCCUUUGAAAACAUCUUGUCCUGUGAGAUGUAUGAUGCAUAUGAUGAGAACUGCUCUGAGGGCUUUUGUCCACUUCGAGACCCAAGACGCCACUAACAAGGCCAUCGAGAAGAUUAACCGCAUGCUCCUCCAUGACCACAAAGUUUGUGGGCAGAUUCAAGUCUGGCAAAGACUGAAGCUGAUCUUGGGGCCAAGGCCAAGGAAUUCACCAAUGUUUUAUCAAAAACUUUGGAGAAGAAUGUGAAAGAGCUCUUCAGCCAGUUUGGUAAGACCCUGAGUGUCAAGGUGAUGAGAGACUCCAGUGGGAAGUCCAAAGGCUUUGGCUUUGUAAGUUACGAGAAACACAAGGAUGCCAAUAAGGCUGUGGAAGAAAUGAAUGGAAAAGAGAUGAGCGGGAAAGUUCUAUUUGUAGGCCGUGCACAAAAAACCAGUAGAACGUCAGGCUGAAUUAAAACGGAAAUUUGAACAGUUGAAGCAGGAGAGGAUUAGUCGGUACCAGGGAGUAAAUCUCUACAUUAAGAACUUGGAUGACACCACUGAUUAAGGAAAGAGUUUUCUCCUUUUGGAUCAAUCACCAGUGCAAAGGUGAAUGCAAGAAGAUGGAAGAAGCAAAGGGUUUGGCUUUGUCUGUUUCUCUCCUGAAGAGGCAACCGAAGCUUAUCACCGAGAUGAACGACGCCUUGUGGGCUCCAAGCCGCUGAAUGUCUCCCUGGCCCAAAGGAAGGAAGAGCUGAGGGUUCACCUGACUAACCAGUAUUUGCAGCUUGUGGCUGGGAUGAGAGCAUUCCCUGCCAAUGCCAUCUUAAAUCGGCUCCAGCCUGUAGCUGGUGGCUACUUUGUGCCCACAGUUCUGCAGGCACAGGGAAGACCUUCAUGUUACCCAGGCCUAAUCAGUUAGCACAGAUGAGGCCUAAUCCACACUGUUAGCAAGAUUGGAGACCUCAAGGCUUCCAAGGAAUGCCAAGUGCUCUGCUACAGACUGAGCCUUGUCCAGCUCUUCUACAUCUGGAUCCAACUGGUAAUGCUCCCGGCCUUCCUACUACUGCUCAGAGAGUCGGCGGCGUGGCGUCCCUACAGCUGUGCUAAACUUUGCACCUCUUGCUACAGUUGGUGCCACUGCCCCCAGGACUGUGGCUCCAUACAAGUUGGCCUCCAGUGUCUGCAGCCCUCACCCUGCCAUUCAUCAGCUGCAGGGCCCCCAGGCUGCAAUCCAUGGCUUCUUGUUGGCUGCAGCGUCCCUCCCCGCCACGCUUCCAGCAGAAGCAGACGCUGGGGGAGCGUCUGUUCCCACUUAUCCAAACAAUGCAUUCAAACCUGGCUGGAAAAAUUACAGGAAUGCUGCUGGAAAUCGACAACUCUGAGCUGCUGCACGUGCUGGAGUCCCCCGAAUCCCUCCGUUCCAAGGUGGAUGAAGCUGUGGCAGUCCUGCAGGCUCGUCAUGCCAAGACAGAAGCUGCCCAGAAGGUGGGCAGUGUUGCUGCUGCUACCCCUUAGACAAGAAAAAAAGAGUCAAAAAACCCAAAUGACCCCUCAUGGCAUCCAGCUAAAGUCUGAAGACAUCCUAGUUUGUCUGUGGAUCUCCAUACCAAGAACCAAGUUUUUAAUUCAAUAGGUCAUUUUGUAUCAAAACGUCAAUGAUGAAGCACCUAGAAUUUUUCAAUUAUAAGAAUAUAUUCUCUGGGUUCUGUUGUGGCCCAGAUGAUAACUUUUUUUUCUAUUGUGGGUUCUGUUUGUUUUCCCCAUCCCAAAAAUUGGUUUUGAUGUACCCAAGACUUAAGUAUCUCAAUAAAGAAAAUAAAAAUCUCAAAAAAAGGUA